CCUACGGGAGGCAGCAGUGAGGAAUAUUGGUCAAUGGACGAGAGUCUGAACCAGCCAAGUAGCGUGAAGGAUGACUGCCCUAUGGGUUGUAAAUUUCUUUUAUAUGGGAAUAAAACGUUCCACGUGUGGGAUUUUGUAUGUACCAUAUGAAUAAGGAUCGGCUAACUCCGUGCCAGCAGCCGCGGUAAUACGGAGGAUCCGAGCGUUAUCCGGAUUUAUUGGGUUUAAGGGGAGCGUAGGUGGGAUGUUAAGUCAGUUGUGAAAGUUUGCGGCUCAACCGUAGAAUUGCAGUUGAAACUGGCAGUCUUGAGUGCAGGAGAGGUGGGCGGAAGUCGUGGUGUAGCGGUGAAAUGCUUAGAUAUCACGAAGAACACCGAUUGCGAAGGCAGUUCACUGGACUACAACUGACACUGAGGCUCGAAAGUGUGGGGAUCAAACAGGAUUAGAUACCCCAGUAGUC
This 460-nucleotide ribosomal RNA is filed under the name uncultured bacterium. RNAcentral describes it as "partial 16S ribosomal RNA". It matches the Rfam family "Bacterial small subunit ribosomal RNA", at positions 338 to 795 of the family's 1533-position model. The record is from RNAcentral.